This 460-nucleotide ribosomal RNA is filed under the name uncultured Prevotella sp. RNAcentral describes it as "bacterial SSU rRNA". It matches the Rfam family "Bacterial small subunit ribosomal RNA", at positions 338 to 795 of the family's 1533-position model. The record is from RNAcentral. Lineage: Bacteria; Pseudomonadati; Bacteroidota; Bacteroidia; Bacteroidales; Prevotellaceae.
CCUACGGGGGGCUGCAGUGAGGAAUAUUGGUCAAUGGGCGGAAGCCUGAACCAGCCAAGUAGCGUGCAGGAUGACGGCCCUAUGGGUUGUAAACUGCUUUUAUGCGGGGAUAAAGGGGCCCACGUGUGGGUUUUUGCAGGUACCGCAUGAAUAAGGACCGGCUAAUUCCGUGCCAGCAGCCGCGGUAAUACGGAAGGUCCGGGCGUUAUCCGGAUUUAUUGGGUUUAAAGGGAGCGUAGGCCGCCCCUUAAGCGUGUUGUGAAAUGCGGGUGCUCAACAUCCGACUUGCAGCGCGAACUGGGGGGCUUGAGUGCGCCGAAAGUAGGCGGAAUUCGUGGUGUAGCGGUGAAAUGCUUAGAUAUCACGAAGAACUCCGAUUGCGAAGGCAGCUUACUGUAGCGCAACUGACGCUGAUGCUCGAAAGCGUGGGUAUCGAACAGGAUUAGAUACCCGGGUAGUC